Molecule: non-coding RNA, 1690 nt
Organism: Xyrichtys novacula (pearly razorfish)
Lineage: Eukaryota; Metazoa; Chordata; Actinopteri; Labriformes; Labridae
Source: the annotation of a GenBank genome assembly
UGUACUGUUGAUGAAGUUAGGUGCUGUUCUGAGCAUUAUUUGUGGCUAAAGAGUGGCGUUUUGGUUGAGUGUGUGCGCUUGGCUCCAUAGACCUCUGUGUAUUGCUAUCAUGCGGUUAUUACUAAAGUUGGUAUAACGAGAGAAGCAAACAUUCAUCUCUCGAGGGGGUGUCUAACUCGGUGUUACGGUGUGUUUGACCCUAACUUAGUUAAGCCUGAAGAUCCCUUUAAGAUAAAGCCCUUGUAGUGGACGCAGUUUGACAAUGUGCAAUUGCCCGAUCAAACUACGUUUCAGCUCAUUCACUCUUUCUCAAUACUGGACCAAUUUCAGAAAUUCUUCUCAGCAUCAGUCAAGAUCACACAAAAAUACAGGAAUUUUCCUUUUCUCUGCUUGAUAAAAAGGUUCAUUAUGGCUUUAUCAUAUCAGGGGAAACUCUUCUUAAAUAGAUUGCUGUUGAGCCAUCGCUAAAGUUAAAGUGGAGUUUUUCCCGACACAUGAACAAACCAAAAAAAAAAGAAAGACUUUCAGCCGAAUGAGGACGUGACAAAGACUUAAAAGUUAGGGUUCUGAAAAUGUUUAUCAGAGACGUAAAGCACUUGAAACAAGGAGUUUGGAUCUAUUCGAAUCUUGUGAAAUGUGAACUAAAUAUUUGAUGUCCAUGACUGCAGUUUACAGAGAGCACACUACGCAGCACUGAAUGAUAGUUUGAUGCCUAAAAACCAUUUCAUCAAGUAUUCCUUUAUUCUUUUUUCAUAAGAGGGCGUGUUUGUGAGAUUUUAGGUGAGUUUAUAAAUGCUUAUAUGCAGUUUGCUGUGUAUUUUUGACUUGUUGGCAGUUUGUCUUCCACUGAGUUUAAAAUCUCAGCUGAAAGUAAAAAUAUCACUAAAAUGUGACUCGAUCACAUAAGAACCAUGUUUGUGUGUUAGUUUUGUGAAUGCAGGCAGUUUGUUACUGAACGUUUUCUGAUCGAAAAAUUUGGUGCUUCACUUCAGAAAAGCACAGACACGAUUCACACACAUUCCACUUGUGAGGUUGAACAACUAUGAUCCUGGUGACGUCGAAGCAAAGGCAGCUUAUUUCAAUUAUCAUUUGAUUCAUACUCCAGCUAUGGUCGGGUGUUGUUGAGCUCCGGCAGCCAUAUUGUGCCUGUUGGUGUCAUUUUUUGCACCAUAGUGUUGUAGUCACGUGUUUUCAGUCAUUGAACCCAUGUAAUAGUCUUAUAAUGCACUGUAAUGAGAGCACUUGUCAGGAAAUGAUGAUUAUCGAUGCUAUGUUUACAAUACAUUUCAAAAUUACUGUGAUUUUUUUCUCUUAUAACCAUAUUCUUCCUAAUUUUAAAUCAAGUUUGGCUCAUGAAAGAUGAACAUUUCAGUUUUGUUUGUGGUGCUUUUGGUACCCUGAAGUAUCUGAUGAGGACAUUUUAAACAGCAGGUACAAGGUGCACAAUCGUAGGUCAAUAUUAAUCUGACCUAUGAUGUUUAGAUGAUGGUUAUGGACUUGUUUUAGAGCCAUUUUUGAACCGUGUCCUCUUUAUUCUUCUGUAAUCUGUUUGAAGUAGCUUUACAUUUAAAAUGUGCUUUCAGAUUUUACUUUUUGGCACAAAUGGAAAUUGUCACACAUCAAAUAAAAAUAAAAAACAGCUUUAAUGAUGGAGACAAACAUCUGCUUUUGGUCGUUUUCUGAGGAUCAA